Molecule: ribosomal RNA, 208 nt
Filed under: uncultured bacterium
Lineage: Bacteria
Description: partial 16S ribosomal RNA
Rfam family: Bacterial small subunit ribosomal RNA
Source: RNAcentral
AGCGUAGACGGCGCAGCAAGUCUGAUGUGAAAGGCAGGGGCUUAACCCCUGGACUGCAUUGGAAACUGCUGUACUUGAGUGCCGGAGGGGUAAGCGGAAUUCCUAGUGUAGCGGUGAAAUGCGUAGAUAUUAGGAGGAACACCAGUGGCGAAGGCGGCUUACUGGACGGUAACUGACGUUGAGGCUCGAAAGCGUGGGGAGCAAACAG